GGGCCAUGCCAUUGCUUUAGAGAAGCUUCUCCUUGUCAUCUUCUCCCUAGCCUGGAUAACACAUGGAACACUUGAAACAGAAUAUCUAGCUGAGCCCCAAACCUGAAUACAACAUGUUUAAGACCACAGGACAUCUGCAUAGGCUGUAAAUUUCGUUAAAUGAUGGAUGCAAAGAUGGAAGACAGAUGGAGAGAGGAAAAGACAGAAUCAGAUACUGGAUGAGUUAGUACUGCUGCCUGUGCUUCAGAGCUGUCUUGUUACCACAAGGCCGGCAAGCAUCAAUGUCCCCACAUCCCCCUCUGCCUCCCCCUGAAAUGUACCGAUUUAUAUGAAAAUUAAGAUUACAAAUUAAAGCCUGGCUAUCCUGGAGUUUUCCAGUUCAUCAGCCAUCCAAUAAAAAUGAUGUCAAGCCUGUAUGCAUAAUUCCCAGAAGAUUACUUUCGUCCUUACAGCUAAGCCCUGUCCCUGAUAUGAAAGAUCUCUAUCCACUUUUAUUGAAAUAAAGAACUAACAUCAUAAUCCCAA
This 525-nucleotide non-coding RNA is filed under the name Pongo abelii (Sumatran orangutan). Lineage: Eukaryota; Metazoa; Chordata; Mammalia; Primates; Hominidae. The record is from RNAcentral.